AGAACGAACGCUGGCGGCAUGCCUAAUACAUGCAAGUCGAACGAACACUUCGGCGUUAGUGGCGCACGGGUGCGUAACGCGUGGGAAUCUGCCCUUGGGUUCGGAAUAACAGUUGGAAACGACUGCUAAUACCGGAUGAUAUCGAAAGAUCAAAGAUUUAUCGCCCAGGGAUGAGCCCGCGUAGGAUUAGCUAGUUGGUGAGGUAAAGGCUCACCAAGGCGACGAUCCUUAGCUGGUCUGAGAGGAUGAUCAGCCACACUGGGACUGAGACACGGCCCAGACUCCUACGGGAGGCAGCAGUAGGGAAUAUUGGACAAGUGGGACGCAAGGCCUAGAUCCAAG
This 342-nucleotide ribosomal RNA is filed under the name uncultured soil bacterium. RNAcentral's name for it is "bacterial SSU rRNA". It matches the Rfam family "Bacterial small subunit ribosomal RNA", at positions 26 to 391 of the family's 1533-position model. The record is from RNAcentral.